RNAcentral lists this ribosomal RNA (422 nucleotides) under uncultured archaeon. RNAcentral's name for it is "partial 16S ribosomal RNA". It matches the Rfam family "Archaeal small subunit ribosomal RNA", at positions 323 to 746 of the family's 1478-position model. The record is from RNAcentral.
CUACGGGCUGCUCCAGGCGAGAAAACUUUGCAAUGUGCGAAAGCACGACAAGGUUAAUCCGAGUGGUUUGUGCUAAACGAACCUUUUGACAGUCCUAGAAACACUGUUGAAUAAGGGGUGGGCAAGUUCUGGUGUCAGCCGCCGCGGUAAAACCAGCACCUCAAGUGGUUAGGAUGAUUAUUGGGCCUAAAGCAUCCGUAGCCGGCUCUGUAAGUUUUCGGUUAAAUCUGUACGCUCAACGUACAGGCUGCCGGGAAUACUGCAGAGCUAGGGAGUGGGAGAGGUAGACGGUACUCGGUAGGAAGGGGUAAAAUCCUUUGAUCUAUUGAUGACCACCUGUGGCGAAGGCGGUCUACCAGAACACGUCCGACGGUGAGGGAAGAAAGCUGGGGGAGCAAACCGGAUUAGAUACCUGGGUAGUC